This 253-nucleotide ribosomal RNA is filed under the name uncultured bacterium. RNAcentral's name for it is "partial 16S ribosomal RNA". It matches the Rfam family "Bacterial small subunit ribosomal RNA", at positions 524 to 776 of the family's 1533-position model. The record is from RNAcentral.
UACGUAGGGUGCAAGCGUUGUCCGGAAUUAUUGGGCGUAAAGAGCUCGUAGGCGGUUUGUCGCGUCUGCUGUGAAAACUCGGGGCUUAACUCCGGGCCUGCAGUGGGUACGGGCAGACUAGAGUGCGGUAGGGGAGACUGGAAUUCCUGGUGUAGCGGUGAAAUGCGCAGAUAUCAGGAGGAACACCAAUAGCGAAGGCAGCUCGCUGGGACGGUACUGACGCUAAGGCGCGAAAGCGUGGGGAGCGAACAGG